RNAcentral lists this ribosomal RNA (565 nucleotides) under Ectatorhinus adamsii. Its description in RNAcentral is "eukaryotic LSU rRNA". It matches the Rfam family "Eukaryotic large subunit ribosomal RNA", at positions 284 to 647 of the family's 3401-position model. The record is from RNAcentral. Lineage: Eukaryota; Metazoa; Arthropoda; Insecta; Coleoptera; Curculionidae.
AGCCCUAAGUGGGUGGUAAACUCCAUCUAAGGCUAAAUAUGACCACGAGACCGAUAGCGAACAAGUACCGUGAGGGAAAGUUGAAAAGCACUUUGAAGAGAGAGUUCAAGAGUACGUGAAACCGUUUAGGGGUAAACCUGAGAAACCCGAAAGGUCGAAGGGAGAAAUUCAUUCGCGUUUCGUGGUUGGCGGCGGGAAGUCGAGUGACGGGAGCGCGUUCGCGCGUUCUCGCGCCUUCGUUUCGUCGAACCGGCUACGAACGCGUGCAAUUUUCUCCUGGUAGGACGUCGCGAUCCGUUGGGUGUCGGUCUACGGCUCGCGGUGGAGCCCGUCCGUCGUACUCACGUACGUGUACGGACGGACCCGUGUGUCCCGGCCGACUCGCUCGACGGUAUACGAAAGGUUUAAGGCCGCUCUCGAAGCGUUCGACUCGUCGCAAGCGCGUCAGAUGCAUGUCGGAUUUCGGACCUGGUGCCGAGUCUGACCUCUGAUGACUGUUGGCGACGAAGUUCUCGAACAGACCUUAGACCGAUCUGCGACGCUAUAGCUUUGGGUACUUUCAGGA